This is a long non-coding RNA of Cyprinus carpio (common carp), 1570 nucleotides long. RefSeq lists it as uncharacterized. Lineage: Eukaryota; Metazoa; Chordata; Actinopteri; Cypriniformes; Cyprinidae. The record is from RefSeq and is a predicted model, not a curated record.
AACAAGAUAAUAGAUUUCCUAACUGAAUGAUACAGUGCUUUAUGUUGUUAUCUGUGGGUAAUAAUUUGCCAUUCUUUUUCUGUAUGCAUAGAGUCCAACUCAGUGUGUUAAGAAACAAUAUGUGGUUGAGAAAUCCACUCCACAGUGGCCUGGAAGGGAAAUUGCUCCAGUCUUGUGGAAUGAACAAAUAUAGUGGGGGUAUGCAUUUCAAAUUGCCCAACACACUACCUCUUCAAGAUAUGUUUUGCUUUCUCUUCCCCUCCCUCAUCCCUUUCUUUGAGAUAGCACACAGUACAGGACUCAUGUUGAAAGGCAUGGUAUUAUGGGAUUACCGAGGGGCAUCCUAAAAGGCAGAGGAAGCAGAGUGGUGAGAAGAAGCCACCUUGAACUCUGAGUGUUUUUGCAGAAGAUUGCUUGUUUUCACAGGCAGGGUUCAAAGCUUUGCAUUCCUUCCUGGGCCUCCGUACCCCCUCAGACUAGGCUGAAUGAGAAAUCAGCAUCUCUAUAAAACGCCUUUUUACCCGUGACCCAAUCCUCCCCUCAAACCCCCACUCCCAAUAACCCCUCCUUGGCCUCCUCUCUGAAGUUGGGAAUCCAUAGGAGGUUUAUUUGUGAUGCAGCACUAAGCGUGAGAACUACUGGGUUGGGAAAAUCCAUCCGGCCACGCUGAAUUGACAGCAUAGAAGUGUUCCAUCAUUUCAAAAUUCAGACAUCUCCGGGGUCUUUUCUUACACGCACCCAGCACAACUGGGUUUGUUCUCUGUCAGCUCUAACAAAACCAGCUGUCGCCCAUACAAAACUGUCACUGCUGCUCUUCCUGAUUGAGCCUUUUUGUGGUGUCACUGGAGGUACUUUGUCAAUAUUAGUUGUUUCUUGAUUUGAAUAUUGCGUGUUAUAGUUUUGUGUGUGUGUGUGUGUGUGUGUGUGUGUGUGUGUGUGUGUGUAUGUGUGUGUUUGAUUGACAAAAGCAAGGAGUUGGCUGUGGAAAUGAGAUGCAGGGCACAAAUCAGAUGCUUUCUGUGAGGUUUGGAGGAUGCUUAGUUACUGCACUCUUGGAAUGAAAAUGGUAGAUGCUCGCACAAUGAGACCCAGCAGUUUUAUUCACUUCUCCCUUCAUUUGGAUUUUGUACCAAGAUCACAGGGUCUGUGUUAGAGCCUGUUAGAAUACCACUGGAGAAAAUGAGUAAAAAUAGCAAGGGGGACAAAGCUGUUGUUGUUUUUCAAAAUUAAGCUCUGUGACCCACAAUAAAGUACAAUUUAGCCAUCACAAGUAUGAAUAAUGCAUCAUGGAGUUCAUUUAUUAAGUUAGUUUGUAGCAUUGUUUUUGUCUUUUUUAAUUAUUCAUGUAAAUGCAUUAGAAUUUCACAUUUUUGCACCCUUUGGGUAACAUCUAAAAUCGCAUUAUUAGUGUCAAAUGUGCUUUUUGUUUUCUCUGGCUAUUUGUUCUCUCUGGCUAUUUGGCUAGUGCAUGUAUUAACCUAUCCAGUACUGUAAUUCAUAAAGUAUGUUUUAAACUAAAUAUUUUUUCCAAGCAGACCGUUUUGUGCUUGGGAAAGCCUUUUUUUUUUUU